RNAcentral lists this ribosomal RNA (253 nucleotides) under uncultured bacterium. RNAcentral's name for it is "partial 16S ribosomal RNA". It matches the Rfam family "Bacterial small subunit ribosomal RNA", at positions 524 to 776 of the family's 1533-position model. The record is from RNAcentral.
UACAGAGGUCCCAAGCGUUGUUCGGAUUCACUGGGCGUAAAGGGUGCGUAGGCGGCGCGGUAAGUUGGGUGUGAAAUCCCUCGGCUCAACCGAGGAAUUGCGCUCGAUACUGCCGUGCUCGAGGGAGACAGAGGUGAGCGGAACUUAGGGUGGAGCGGUGAAAUGCGUUGAUAUCCUAAGGAACACCAGUGGCGAAAGCGGCUCACUGGGUCUCUUCUGACGCUGAGGCACGAAAGCUAGGGGAGCGAACGGG